CCCUUAGAUGUUCUGGGCCGCACGCGCGCUACACUGACGGAGGCAGCGAGCAUGUCCUUCGCCGAGAGGUGUGGGGAAUCUUGUGAGUCUCCGUCGUGCUGGGGAUAGAUGGUUGCAAUUGUCGAUCUUGAACGAGGAAUGCCUAGUAGGCGCAAGUCAUCAGCUUGCGUCGAUUACGUCCCUGCCCUUUGUACACACCGCCCGUCGCUCCUACCGAUUGGGUGUGCUGGUGAAAUGUUCGGAUCGGCCGUUUGUCGCGGUUUCCGCGUCAUGUGGCUGAGAAGUUCAUUAAACCCUCCCACCUAGAGGAAGGAGAAGUCGUAACA
RNAcentral lists this ribosomal RNA (326 nucleotides) under uncultured eukaryote. RNAcentral describes it as "partial 18S ribosomal RNA". It matches the Rfam family "Eukaryotic small subunit ribosomal RNA", at positions 1470 to 1796 of the family's 1831-position model. The record is from RNAcentral.